RNAcentral lists this ribosomal RNA (310 nucleotides) under uncultured bacterium. RNAcentral describes it as "partial 16S ribosomal RNA". It matches the Rfam family "Bacterial small subunit ribosomal RNA", at positions 503 to 807 of the family's 1533-position model. The record is from RNAcentral.
AAGAGACAGCAGUCGCCGCGGUAAUACAGAGGGUGCGAGCGUUAAUCGGAUUUACUGGGCGUAAAGCGUGCGUAGGCGGCUUCUUAAGUCGGAUGUGAAAUCCCUGAGCUUAACUUAGGAAUUGCAUUCGAUACUGGGAAGCUAGAGUAUGGGAGAGGAUGGUAGAAUUCCAGGUGUAGCGGUGAAAUGCGUAGAGAUCUGGAGGAAUACCGAUGGCGAAGGCAGCCAUCUGGCCUAAUACUGACGCUGAGGUACGAAAGCAUGGGGAGCAAACAGGAUUAGAUACCCGGGUAGUCCCUGUCUCUUAUAC